Molecule: long non-coding RNA, 5377 nt
Filed under: Triticum aestivum (bread wheat)
Lineage: Eukaryota; Viridiplantae; Streptophyta; Magnoliopsida; Poales; Poaceae
Description: long non-coding RNA (TAES_LNC001258)
Source: RNAcentral
GAACACAAGGUUUUUGCGCUGUAAACUUCACAGCUUUUCUGCUCCUCUCUCGCUUCUAUUUAUUCAGAUUACAGAAGGGAAACUGGGGAUCGUGGCCCCUGACUUGGCGCCUACGUGAUCCACAUCGCUCGUGCCAUCCCACGAACAGAUCAACGAGGCGCGCGACUCGCUCCAGGUUGUUGCAACCCACGAGCAAAGCUAGCUAACAGAAAGACUGAAAGAAAAACGGGAAAGCUAACCUGACAGAAAAACUAGCUAACUGAACUUUGACAGGGCUCGGGGUUUUAUUUCAACAAAUCACCCCCUAAAACCUAAGCCCUUGUCGAUCUCUACCAUGCCGAUCCUUGCACGCAGCUCCGCAAAGCGCACGCGCCCGAGAGCCUUGGUCAGAAGAUCGGCGAGCUGUCCAUCAGUGCCGACGAACUCCACCUCCACUUGCUUGUUCUCCACACACUCCCUGAUGAAGUGGAACCGGAUGUCAAUGUGCUUACUCCGUUCAUGGUACACAGGGUUCUUCGCAAGUGAGAUGGCUGAUUUGUUAUCCAUCCAGAGUGGGAAACACGCCGGCCUCUCCUUCUUGAGCUCGCUGAGGAAACGGGCCAGCCAAACUCCUUGGCACGCCGCCGUCGUGGCGCUGAUGUACUCGGCCUCGCAGGAUGACAGCGCCACGACCUUCUGCUUGAGAGACUGCCAGCUGAUGAUGCAGUUGCCGUAGAAGAACAUGGCGCCGGUCGUGCUCCGUCGUGUGUCGACAUCUCCUCCCAUGUCACUGUCGCUGUAGCCGGCGAGGUGGCCAUCUCCUUUUCCCUUUGGGUAGAAGCAGCCCCAAUGCAGAGUGCCGGCGAUGUAGCGCAGAAUCUUCCUCACCGCAGCCAGAUGCUCGGUGGUGGGCGCCUCCAUGAAGCGCGAGACGUAGCCAACGGCGAAAGUGAUGUCCGGCCUGGUGUGAACCAGAUAGCGCAGACACCCGACGAGGCCGCGGUACUCCGUCGCAUCAGUCAGAGGCGCGGUGCUCUGCUUGCUAAGCUUCAGUCUGGGUUCCAUGGGCACUGCGCACGGGUUGCACCCUGUCAUGCCCCCGCGCUCCAGAAUCUUCUCGGCGUAAGCCGUCUGGUUCAGGGAGAUACCAGCCCGCGCCUGGUGCACCUCGAUCCCCAAGUAGAAACUUAGGAGACCGAGAUCGCUCAUCUUGAAGAGCUUCAUCAUUUCCUCCUUGAACCGCGUGAUCUCCCCGUCGUCGUUGCCGGUGAUGACCAGAUCGUCGACAUACACCCCCACAAGGAGGCGAGACGAGGCGUUGCCACGCCCGUAGAUGGCGUGCUCGGUGGUGCUGCGCUCGAACCCGAGCGACGCGAGGCAUGCGUCCAGCUUCUGGUUCCAGGCGCGCGGCGCCUGUUUCAAACCGUACAGGGCCUUGUCGAGGCGCAGCACCUUGCUCUCCUGUCCGGCGGCGAUGUACCCAGGUGGUUGCGCGACGUAGACCUCCUCCUGGAGCUCCCCGUUCAGGAACGCACUCUUCACGUCCAUGUGAUGCACGCCCCAGCCCGCGCGCGCGGCCAGAGCGAGCAGGAGGCGCACUGACUCCAUGCGGGCGACAGGCGCGAACACCUCUUCAUAGUCCACGCCCUGGCGCUGCACGAACCCUUUGGCGACGAGGCGGGCCUUGUGCCGCACCACCGCGCCCUGGGCGUCGCGUUUCACCUUGUAGACCCAUUUGAGACCAAUGGGGCGGUGACCAGGAGGGAGAUCAGCGAGAUGCCAGGUGCGAUUCUCCUGGAUAGACGCCAUUUCCUCGUCCAUAGCGCGCUUCCAGGCUGCAUCUCCUUGCGCCUCAUCCAGAGAGGCCGGCUCCUCUGCCAGCCCGAGGUGCAGCUCCUCGUCGUCGAGGUCGUCGAGGUUGAGGAUGUAGUCCGUGAGCUGUUGGUUCGGCUGCACGAUGCCGUCCCGUGCACGCGUCACCAUCGGGUGCACGCCCGCGUGGUCAGCUGGUGGCGACUCGAUCGGAGUCGGCGAAGCGCUUGGCGGAGAAUGUGACAUGGCAGGGCUGAGCUCAGGAUUGAGGUCCCUCCCGCCGGUGCUCGCGGGCGUGAACGGAGUGGGCGCGUCGGCUCCUGCUGCAAUUGCGUCCCCGCCAGCGCUGCCGCGUGGUGGAGGGGCCGGUGUCGCCGGCGCAGAGUGACGCACCCCCUCAAGCACAGCAGUCGGCCCGUACUCGACAGUGAACGUCGCCGCGCCGGGGGCGUCCCCGCCCCGUUGCCAGUCCCAGCUUGCUCGCGCGUCGAAGACGACGUCGCGCGUGAUGUGCACGCGCUUAGUGGCGGGGUCGUACGCCCGGUAUGCCUUGCCUCCCGGCUCAUACCCGAUGAAAACCAUCGCCUUGCUCCUGUCCGCCAGCUUCGCCAGGUGCGGGCGCGUGUCCUUGACGUGAGCCACGCACCCGAAGACGCGCAGGAAGUGCACGUUGGGUUUGCGACCAUGCCACGCCUCAAAUGGCGUCUUCCCAGUCAGGCUCCUUGUGUACGACCUAUUCAUCAGAAACACGGCAGUGGUGACAGCCUCACCCCAGAAGGAAGCCGGCACGCCCCUGGCCUUGAGCAUGCACCUCGCCAUGCCCACAACAGUCAGGUUGCGGCGCUCCACCACUCCGUUUUGCUGCGGGGAGUAGGGCGCUGUCAGGUGGCGCUGCACGCCGUGGUCGGCGCAGUACUCCGCGAACGCCGUGCUCGUGAAUUCGCCUCCGCGAUCCGUGCGGAACGUGCGCAGGGAGCGGCGCGACUCGGUCUCCGCGGCAGCCUUGAACCGGCGGAUCGCCUCGGCCGCCUCGUCCUUGGAGCGCAGCAAGACGAGCCAAGUGUAACGGCUGUGGUCGUCCACUAGUAGGAGGAAGUAGCGCUUCCCGCCCGGCGUCGCCGGCGAGAUCGGCCCGCAGAUGUCGCCGUGGACCAGCUCCAGUGGUUCCAUCGCGCGGUACUUGGUGGCUUGGGGAAACGAGGCCCGCCUCUGCUUGCCAGCAAGGCACGCCUCGCAGAUCUGCUCCGCGUGGACGAUGAGGGGGAGCCCGGUGACCAUGCCGGCGCGCGCCAUCCUCUCCAGGCCCUGGAAGUGGACGUGGCCGAAUCUCUCGUGCCAGCGCCAGCCCGCGCCGUCGCACUCGCUCGCGGCGAGGCACGCCGGCUUGACGAUCUUGAUAUGCAGAAUAUAGAGUCGCUUGGCCGAGCGGGUUACCUUUGCGAGGAGAUUCUUCUGACGAUCGCGAACCGUCAUGGUGCCGUGCUCCACCAGCGUCGCGCACCCGACCUCGUCCAGCUGGCCGAUGCUGAUGAUGCUGCUCUUGAGGCGGGGUAUCCAGUAGACAUUUGUGAGGCCACGGUGGUGACCACCUGCCACAGCGAACAGCACCGUGCCCCGCCCGCGUAUGUCCACUAGAGACCCGUCGCCGAACUUGACCGAGCCCGUCACGGACUCGUCCAGGUCCGCGAACGCCGACACGUCGCCGGUCAUGUGGUUCGACGCCCCAGUGUCGAGGUACCAGGCGGCAUCGGUGUCGCCAGGAGACUGCUGCAGUUCCACGCGUGCGCGCUCCUCGUUGAGGAACACCUGCGCCGCCGCGGUCGCGAGGGAUGUCUGGGGCGCAGUCAGGUUUAGCUUCGACCCUGCCGUGCUCCCCUCGUCCAGAGUGCAGGCCUGGACCAUCAGAAGGCCCGGCUCAUCCUCGUCAGCUUCGGCGAGGUUCGCCUCCUCGUCGCGCUUCUUCUUCCGGCAUUCCCGGGCCCAGUGGCCCAGGUUGUUGCAGUAGCGGCACUUGUCGUUCUUGCGGGCGGCGCUGCCAGAAGAGUUCUGGUUCCCGCGCCCGCCUCGGCCACCUCCGCGACCGCGCGAGCGUCCGCCACCGCCGCCACCGCGGCGUCCGCCGCCGCCGGCAGCUUGGUUGCUGCUACCUCCGGUGGCUCCGGCCUGGUCGAUCUUCUGCUGGCGCGCCAUCCACUCCUCGUGAGUGAACAGCAGGCUGCUCCCGCCUUGGGCGGCCCCGUCCAGCCCGUAGCGUUCCUCCGCCGCUUUCAGCCGGCCGGUGAGCUCCUCGACCGUGAGCUCCAACAGGUCAAGCAGUGUCUCUAUGGAGAGAGCCACCUGUGCAUAGCGCGGCGGGACGACCCAGAGAAAUUUCUCCACGGCCCUUUCUUCCUUCAGAUCAUCACCAAGAAGAGCUAGGUUAUUCAUCAUACCGGUGAGUCGAAGGGCAAACUCGUCGACGGUCUCCCCGUCCUUGAAACGGAUGUCGUCGAACUCGCGGCGGAGGGACUGCGCCUUCGCCUUGCGUACGCGGUCGACUCCAAGACGGAUCGUCUUGAUGGAGUCCCACGCCUCCUUCGCCGUCUCCUUCACGGCGAGCGUCGCCAGCAUCUCCGGCGGUACGGCCCGGAGGAUCGCCUCCAGCGCCAAUCGAUCGUCACGGUAGUCGGCGUCGUCGUACAUGCACGCGCCGAUUUCGAUGACGGUCCACAGGCCUCUCGCCUGCAGGAUCACCUUCAUCAGGAGCGACCACUCCGCGUAGUUCGUCCUCGUCAGGGUGGGGUAGGAGGUGGAUCCGGUCGCCUCGCGCAGCGGCCGUGGCAUUGCCAGCUCACGGCCGGACGGCUUCCCUGAACCGUCGCCAAACAGAGUCGCGGGCUUGCCGCCGCUGCUGUUGGUGCUCUUCCCGUCCUUCUUCGCCUCAGCCCCGGAGUUGUCCGGCGAGGCAGAACGGGAACGAGCCGGAUUGCUCUUCCCCAUGACCGAAACGCGGCUCUGAUGCCAAUUGACAGCACUCCCAAAGUGCCAAGACGAUGAACACAAUCACACACACGAGUGGAGCUCUAGGGAGAUGAUGAACACAAGGUUUUUGCGCUGUAAACUUCACAGCUUUUCUGCUCCUCUCUCGCUUCUAUUUAUUCAGAUUACAGAAGGGAAACUGGGGAUCGUGGCCCCUGACUUGGCGCCUACGUGAUCCACAUCGCUCGUGCCAUCCCACGAACAGAUCAACGAGGCGCGCGACUCGCUCCAGGUUGUUGCAACCCACGAGCAAAGCUAGCUAACAGAAAGACUGAAAGAAAAACGGGAAAGCUAACCUGACAGAAAAACUAGCUAACUGAACUUUGACAGGGCUCGGGGUUUUAUUUCAACAGUCUUUAAUUUUUGAACCGACGGGUGCACUAACUAAAUAAUGGGUGCCUUUUCCUCUCCAGAGCAUAUCUGUAUAGUAUAAUGACUUAAGACGGGACUCCAGCCAGCACUUGUUCCAACUUUGCUAGACAAAAAAUGGCAAAAUGUGUUGCCAAGCAUGCCAAAUAAUAACGCAUUGAGAAUAUAGUAUGUGCAGGCUCCAUCGCAACAAUGUCAC